Molecule: ribosomal RNA, 253 nt
Filed under: uncultured bacterium
Lineage: Bacteria
Description: partial 16S ribosomal RNA
Rfam family: Bacterial small subunit ribosomal RNA
Source: RNAcentral
UACGUAGGGGGCUAGCGUUGUCCGGAAUCAUUGGGCGUAAAGCGCGUGUAGGCGGCCCGGUAAGUCCGCUGUGAAAGUCCAGGGCUCAACCCUGGGAUGCCGGUGGAUACUGUCGGGCUCGAGUCCGGAAGAGGCGAGUGGAAUUCCUGGUGUAGCGGUGAAAUGCGCAGAUAUCAGGAGGAACACCAAUGGCGAAGGCAGCUCGCUGGGACGUGACUGACGCUGAGACGCGAAAGCGUGGGGAGCGAACAGG